This 509-nucleotide long non-coding RNA is filed under the name Rattus norvegicus (Norway rat). Its description in RNAcentral is "long non-coding RNA NONRATT001103". Lineage: Eukaryota; Metazoa; Chordata; Mammalia; Rodentia; Muridae. The record is from RNAcentral.
GAGCCCAGGACGUGAGAGCAGAAACAGGAAAUCCAGGCAAUUUUGCUGGCUGUUCCCGGAACGGACAGGACAAAGGGACUAUAUUAAGGCUUCCCUGGGUUAGACAAGAUUGGAACACGUCAGAUGGCCAACUGCUAGCACAUUGUGGACUCUGGCCAUGUCUCCAAAGGAGGCCCCUGCAACACACGGGUGGGCUGGCUGCCAGGGCUGGCAGAAGGAGAUGUGUGCUGGAAAUAAACGAGGAGCUGUUUGCUUACAGAUCUUCCCCACCACCUCAUGGGGAACCGAGAAAGAAAUUCUCAGAACGUCUAAGGAUUAGAUAGAAAAGACAACAUUUGUCUCCCAGAAAUGGUGCACACGCAUAGAUCUUUCAGGACCACGAAGUUACUUUCUUAAAACGGAUGGAAAAGUGUGUGGUGUUUCUGCACAGCUGGACCUCAGCUGGGCACACAGGAGCUAAAGACACCAAUGUAUGACAUGUGGAAUGGGAUUAAAGCUUUCUUCCUAAA